This 499-nucleotide ribosomal RNA is filed under the name uncultured bacterium. RNAcentral's name for it is "partial 16S ribosomal RNA". It matches the Rfam family "Bacterial small subunit ribosomal RNA", at positions 28 to 507 of the family's 1533-position model. The record is from RNAcentral.
GACGAACGCUGGCGGCGUGCCUAAUACAUGCAAGUCGAGCGGACUUUCAAGAAGCUUGCUUUUUGAAAGUUAGCGGCGGACGGGUGAGUAACACGUGGGCAACCUGCCUGCAAGACGGGGAUAACUCCGGGAAACCGGGGCUAAUACCGGAUAAUAUCUUCCUUCGCAUGAAGGAAGGUUGAAAGGCGGCGCAAGCUGCCGCUUGCAGAUGGGCCCGCGGCGCAUUAGCUAGUUGGUGAGGUAACGGCUCACCAAGGCGACGAUGCGUAGCCGACCUGAGAGGGUGGUCGGCCACACUGGGACUGAGACACGGCCCAGACUCCUACGGGAGGCAGCAGUAGGGAAUCUUCCGCAAUGGACGAAAGUCUGACGGAGCAACGCCGCGGGAGCGAAGAAGGUCUUCGGAUCGUAAAGCUCUGUUGUCAGGGAAGAACAAGUACCGUUCGAACAGGGCGGUACCUUGACGGUACCUGACCAGAAAGCCACGGCUAACUAUGUG